CCGGGGUAGGUGGGUGACGGCGGUCGGAGGUGUAGGAGGGAGCCGUGGAGGUCCAGCCAGUUUUUCCAGAGAUCUACUUGAUAGAGGGAAAGGAGAAAGGAAGAUGUCAUUGAACCAAGAGAAAAUUGUCUUUCUCCAUACCUUGGAAUAUUAUUUGGCAAUAAUGAAGGAAUAUUAUUUGGCAAUAAUGAAGGAAUGAAGGACUGAUAUAUGAUACAGCACAGAUGGACUUUGGAAGCAUACUAAGAGAAAGAAGCUAGUCUCGAAGAACACAUUGUAUGAUUCCAUUCCUAUGAAAUGUCCAGAAUAGCAAAGCUAUAAAGAUACAAAGUAGAUUAGUAGUCACCUUUGGCCAGUGAGGUUGGGGAGAAAUGGAGAGCGAUUGCUAAUGAUUACAAACUUUCCUUUUAGCGUAAUAGAAAUGUUCUAAAAGUGAUGAUUGUACAAUGUUGUAAAUAUAUUAAAAACCAUUGGCUUGUGUACUUCAAGUAGGUGUAUUGUAUUGCCAUAUCUCAAUAAAUUAUAUCUCAAUAAAGCCAUUUUAUUUAUAUAAAUUUAAGGGGUGCACAUGCAGUUUUGUUACAUGGUUAUAUUGCAUAGCGUGAAGUCUGGGCUUUUAGUGUAAUCAUCACCUGAAUAAUGUACAUUGUACGCAUUAAGUAAUUUCUCAUCCCUCACCCUCCCAUCCUUUUGAGUCUCCAAUGUCUUCUUAUUCCACUCUCUGUCCAUGUGUACACAUUAUUUAGGUUCCACUUACAAGUGAGAACAUGCAGCAUUUGACUUUUUUCUGAGUCAUUUCAC
RNAcentral lists this long non-coding RNA (801 nucleotides) under Homo sapiens (human). Its description in RNAcentral is "HSALNT0113298". The record is from RNAcentral. Lineage: Eukaryota; Metazoa; Chordata; Mammalia; Primates; Hominidae.